UACGGAGGGUGCAAGCGUUGCUCGGAAUUAUUGGGCGUAAAGGGUAGGUAGGUGGUCUCGUUUGUCUGGGGUGAAAGCCUUGAGCUUAACUCAAGAAGUGCCUCAGAAACGGCGAGACUAGAGUUCUGGAGAGGGUCGUGGAAUUCCCGGUGUAGCGGUGUAAUGCGUAGAGAUCGGGAGGAACACCAGAGGCGAAGGCGGCGACCUGGACAGAUACUGACACUCAACUACGAAAGCGUGGGUAGCAAACAGG
RNAcentral lists this ribosomal RNA (253 nucleotides) under uncultured bacterium. Its description in RNAcentral is "partial 16S ribosomal RNA". It matches the Rfam family "Bacterial small subunit ribosomal RNA", at positions 524 to 776 of the family's 1533-position model. The record is from RNAcentral.